GACGUAGCAAUCUGCGAUAAGCCUCGGGGAGUGGAUAAGCACACUUUGAUCCGAGGGUCUCCGAAUGGGGAAACCCCGCUGGGCGGCGUGCCGACCCGGUGACUCCCGCCUGAAUAUAUAGGGCGGGUAGAGGGAACGUGGGGAAGUGAAACAUCUCAGUACCCACAGGAAGAGAAAGCAACCGCGAUUCCGUUAGUAGUGGCGAGCGAAACCGGAACAGGCUAAACCGAGUACGUGUGAUAUCCGGCAGGAGUUGCGUAUUCGGGGUUGUGGGACUUUUCAGGCUGCUCUGCCGAGCAGCCGGCGUUACAAGAAGGUAUAGACGAACUGGAUUGAAAGCCAGGUCAUAGAGGGUGCCAACCCCGUAGUCGAAAUGCCUCCCUUGGCGCGAAGAGUAUCCCAAGUAGCACGGGGCCCGAGAAAUCCCGUGUGAAUCUGUCAGGACCACCUGAUAAGCCUAAAUACUCCCAGAUGACCGAUAGCGGACAAGUACCGUGAGGGAAAGGUGAAAAGUACCCCGGGAGGGGAGUGAAAUAGUACCUGAAACCGUUUGCUUACAAACCGUUGGAGCAGCCCUAGCAGCUGUGACAGCGUGCCUUUUGAAGAAUGAGCCUGCGAGUUAGCGAUACGUGGCGAGGUUAACCCGUGAGGGGUAGCCGUAGCGAAAGCGAGUCUGAAUAGGGCGAUUCAGUCGCGUGUCCUAGACCCGAAGCGAAGUGAUCUAUCCAUGGCCAGGUUGAAGCGACGGUAAGACGUCGUGGAGGACCGAACCCACUUAGGUUGAAAACUGAGGGGAUGAGCUGUGGAUAGGGGUGAAAGGCCAAUCAAACUUCGUGAUAGCUGGUUCUCUCCGAAAUGCAUUUAGGUGCAGCGUUGCGUGUUUCUUGCCGGAGGUAGAGCUACUGGAUGGCCGAUGGGCCCUACAAGGUUACUGACGUCAGCCAAACUCCGAAUGCCGGUAAGUGAGAGCGCAGCAGUGAGACUGUGGGGGAUAAGCUUCAUAGUCGAGAGGGAAACAACCCAGACCACCAACUAAGGUCCCAAAGCGCGUGCUAAGUGGGAAAGGAUGUGGAGUUGCCUUGACAACCAGGAGGUUGGCUUAGAAGCAGCCACCCUUGAAAGAGUGCGUAAUAGCUCACUGGUCAAGUGAUUCCGCGCCGACAAUGUAACGGGGCUCAAGCACGCCACCGAAGUUGUGGCAUUGACAUUAUUGGUAGGCCUUCGUGGUCCAGCCGUGUUGAUGGGUAGGAGAGCGUCGUGUGGCCAGCGAAGCGGCGGUGUGAACCAGCCGUGGAGGCUACACGAGUGAGAAUGCAGGCAUGAGUAGCGAAAGACAUGUGAGAAACAUGUCCUCCGAAAGACCAAGGGUUCCAGGGUCAAGCUAAUCUUCCCUGGGUAAGUCGGGACCUAAGGCGAGGCCGACAGGCGUAGUCGAUGGACAACGGGUUGAUAUUCCCGUACCGGCGAAGAACCGCCCAAGCUAAUCCAGUAGUGCUAAGUGUCUGAAUCCCACUGACGGAUCCCUUCGGGGUGAAGCGUUGGGCCUAGCGCACGACCCCAUUCUGGUGCGGUUAGCGUAUUAACAGGUGUGACGCAGGAAGGUAGCCCAACCCGGGCGAUGGUUGUCCCGGGGCAAGUGCGUAGGCCGAGAGAUAGGCAAAUCCGUCUCUCACAUAGGCUGAGACACGAUGCGGAUAUAAAGUGGGUGAUCCUAUGCUGCCAAGAAAAGCAUCGACGCGAGGUUCUAGCCGCCCGUACCCCAAACCGACUCAGGUGGUCAGGUAGAGAAUACCAAGGAGAUCGAGAGAAUCGUGGUUAAGGAACUCGGCAAAAUGCCCCCGUAACUUCGGGAGAAGGGGGGCCUUCGGCGUAUUAGGACUUGCUCCGAAAGCGUUUGGAGGCCGCAGAGACUAGUGGGUAGCGACUGUUUAUUAAAAACACAGGUCCGUGCCAAGUCGCAAGACGAUGUAUACGGACUGACGCCUGCCCGGUGCUGGAAGGUUAAGAGGACCGGUUAGCCGCAAGGCGAAGCUGAGAAUUUAAGCCCCAGUAAACGGCGGUGGUAACUAUAACCAUCCUAAGGUAGCGAAAUUCCUUGUCGGGUAAGUUCCGACCUGCACGAAUGGCGUAACGACUUCCCAACUGUCUCAACCGCGAACUCGGCGAAAUUGCACUACGAGUAAAGAUGCUCGUUACGCGCAGCAGGACGGAAAGACCCCGUGACCUUUACUACAGCUUGGUAUUGGUGUUCGGUGUGGCUUGUGUAGGAUAGGUGGGAGACUGUGAAGCGGUGACGCCAGUUACCGUGGAGUCAUUGUUGAAAUACCACUCUGGUCACUCUGGAUAUCUAACUUCGAACCGUAAUCCGGUUCAGGGACAGUGCCUGGUGGGUAGUUUAACUGGGGCGGUUGCCUCCCAAAAAGUAACGGAGGCGCCCAAAGGUUCCCUCAACCUGGUUGGCAAUCAGGUGUCGAGUGUAAGUGCACAAGGGAGCUUGACUGUGAGACUGACAGGUCGAGCAGGGACGAAAGUCGGGACUAGUGAUCCGGCAGUGGCUUGUGGAAGCGCUGUCGCUCAACGGAUAAAAGGUACCUCGGGGAUAACAGGCUGAUCUUGCCCAAGAGUCCAUAUCGACGGCAUGGUUUGGCACCUCGAUGUCGGCUCGUCGCAUCCUGGGGCUGGAGUAGGUCCCAAGGGUUGGGCUGUUCGCCCAUUAAAGCGGUACGCGAGCUGGGUUUAGAACGUCGUGAGACAGUUCGGUCCCUAUCCGCUGCGCGCGUAGGAAAUUUGAGAGGAUCUGACCCUAGUACGAGAGGACCGGGUUGGACGAACCUCUGGUGUGCCAGUUGUUCUGCCAAGAGCACCGCUGGUUAGCUACGUUCGGGAUGGAUAACCGCUGAAAGCAUCUAAGCGGG
RNAcentral lists this ribosomal RNA (2915 nucleotides) under Microbacterium sp. ALBL_046. RNAcentral describes it as "bacterial LSU rRNA". It matches the Rfam family "Bacterial large subunit ribosomal RNA". The record is from RNAcentral. Lineage: Bacteria; Bacillati; Actinomycetota; Actinomycetes; Micrococcales; Microbacteriaceae.